Molecule: long non-coding RNA, 453 nt
Organism: Solea solea (common sole)
Lineage: Eukaryota; Metazoa; Chordata; Actinopteri; Pleuronectiformes; Soleidae
Exons: 3
Source: RefSeq, a predicted model, not a curated record
AGUGAUGGCUGGUUCUGGUGUUGCUGUGAGGCUGCAUGAGUUCAGAGAGUCCAGGGACCUGGAGGAACUGAAUAGGUCCACGGCAAGAACGUCACGUCCGGGCAGAGAUGCACACGGAUUAUACCCGGGACAGCUAGGAAGAGUCCACACAAUCCCCUCCAAGGAUUGUGGGUUCAUUCGUCGCAGUGGACGAUGUCACGAGUCUCUAAACCAGCACCAGGAAAAUGACCGGCCCAGUUUAGACAUUCAGACCCUGAGAGAAGAGGUUCUGCAUCACAGCGCUGCUCUCGCCCACCAGCGCCCCCUUCAGACCACGUACCAGGAGGACUUCUGUCAUCAGUCCCUUCUCUUUCCUCAGUGAAACGACGUUACACAGGAAUCUGGAAAGUUCUUCCAGCAAUCAUCACUCAACCACUCACAGCUGCAGCUGCCUCGUGUGGCCACAGGGGGGAG